Molecule: ribosomal RNA, 451 nt
Filed under: uncultured bacterium
Lineage: Bacteria
Description: bacterial SSU rRNA
Rfam family: Bacterial small subunit ribosomal RNA
Source: RNAcentral
GUGAGGAAUAUUGCGCAAUGGGGGAAACCCUGACGCAGCGAUGCCGCGUGGGUGAAGAAGGCCUUCGGGUCGUAAAGCCCUGUCAAGCGGGAAGAACAGCCCUGGGGCUAAUAUCCUCAGGGUGUGACGGUACCGCUGAAGGAAGCACCGGCUAACUCCGUGCCAGCAGCCGCGGUAAGACGGAGGGUGCGAGCGUUAUUCGGAAUUAUUGGGCGUAAAGGGCGCGUAGGCGGCCGGUCAAGUCAGAUGUGAAAGCCCAGGGCUUAACCCUGGAAGUGCAUUUGAAACUGGUCGGCUUGAGUUCGGGAGAGGAAAGCGGAAUUCCGGGUGUAGAGGUGAAAUUCGUAGAUAUCCGGAGGAACACCGGUGGCGAAGGCGGCUUUCUGGACCGAAACUGACGCUGAGGCGCGAAAGCGUGGGGAGCAAACAGGAUUAGAUACCCUUGUAGUCC